UUGCGANUGGGCGAAAGCCUGACGCAGCGACGCCGCGUGGGGGAUGAAGCUUCUCGGAGUGUAAACCCCUUUCGACCCGGACGAAUGACCCGCAAGGGUUUGACGGUACGGGUAUAAGAAGCCCCGGCUAACUACGUGCCAGCAGCCGCGGUAAUACGUAGGGGGCCAGCGUUGCUCGGAAUUACUGGGCGUAAAGGGUUCGUAGGCGGUGCGGCAAGUCGGGAGUGAAAUCUCUGGGCUUAACUCAGAGGCUGCUUUCGAAACUGCCGUGCUCGAGUGCGGGAGAGGCCAGUGGAACUGCAGGUGUAGCGGUGAAAUGCGUAGAUAUCUGCAGGAACACCCGUGGCGAAGGCGGCUGGCUGGACCGCAACUGACGCUGAGGAACGAAAGCUAGGGGAGCAAACAGGAUUAGAUACCCUGGUAGUCCUAGCCCUAAACCAUCAGGACUUGGGGUGGCCCGCGUAGGCGGGUCGUCCCGUAGCUAACGCGUUAAGUCCUGCGCCUGGGGAGUACGGUCGCAAGGCUGAAACUCAAAAGAAUUGACGGA
Molecule: ribosomal RNA, 547 nt
Filed under: uncultured bacterium
Lineage: Bacteria
Description: bacterial SSU rRNA
Rfam family: Bacterial small subunit ribosomal RNA
Source: RNAcentral